This 314-nucleotide ribosomal RNA is filed under the name uncultured Helotiaceae. RNAcentral describes it as "partial large subunit ribosomal RNA". It matches the Rfam family "Eukaryotic large subunit ribosomal RNA", at positions 40 to 350 of the family's 3401-position model. The record is from RNAcentral. Lineage: Eukaryota; Fungi; Ascomycota; Leotiomycetes; Helotiales; Helotiaceae.
AUAUCAAUAAGCGGAGGAAAAGAAACCAACAGGGAUUACCUCAGUAACUGCGAGUGAAGCGGUAACAGCUCAAAUUUGAAAUCUGGCUCUUUCAGGGUCCGAGUUGUAAUUUGUAGAAGAUGCUUUGGGUGUGGUCCGGGUCUAAGUUCCUUGGAACAGGACGUCAUAGAGGGUGUGAAUCCCGUACGUGACUGGGUGCUUUCGCUCGUGUAAAGCUCUUUCGACGAGUCGAGUUGUUUGGGAAUGCAGCUCUAAAUGGGAGGUAAAUUUCUUCUAAGGCUAAAUAACGGCAAGAGACCGAUAGCGCACAAGUA